AGACAGUCAGAGAUGGAAAAACUCAUUCAUCUGAUUUUACUUUUUGUUCUUGUUUCCAUUCCGGGUAGUUUUGAAGAGAAUUUAGCACGUAGAGGAACAGUUACGCAGUCAUCUAUAUAUUCUACCUUUGGAGCACAAAAUGCCAUAGAUGGUUUAAGAUAUGGACCAGGUGAAGCUGCAUACUGCUCCGUUACUGGAAAUGAAUUAAGUCCAUGGUGGAGGUUGGAUCUCUUGGAUUAUUAUGAGAUUAGUACAGUAAUCAUCACUACUAGAUCAGACUGUUGUCUUUGGCAAACCAAUGGAGCAGAGAUUCGUAUUGGAAACUCCACUGAAAACGAUGGAAACGACAAUCCCAUAUGUGCUAUAACUUCAGGUGGUCAAACUAUGAGUUACUCAUGUGGUGUAAUGGUGGGACGUUAUAUAAAUGUGGUCCUGACUGGACGUACAUCUAAUCUCGCUCUCUGUGAAGUUGAGGUUUAUGAAACAG
Paramisgurnus dabryanus is the source of this 487-nucleotide long non-coding RNA. RefSeq lists it as uncharacterized. Lineage: Eukaryota; Metazoa; Chordata; Actinopteri; Cypriniformes; Cobitidae. The record is from RefSeq and is a predicted model, not a curated record.